AGUGAACGCUGGCGGUAGGCCUAACACAUGCAAGUCGAACGGCAGCACAGUAAGAGCUUGCUCUUACGGGUGGCGAGUGGCGGACGGGUGAGGAAUACAUCGGAAUCUACUUUUUCGUGGGGGAUAACGUAGGGAAACUUACGCUAAUACCGCAUACGACCUACGGGUGAAAGCAGGGGAUCUUCGGACCUUGCGCGAUUGAAUGAGCCGAUACCGGAUUAGCUAGUUGGCGGGGUAAAGGCCCACCAAGGCGACGAUCCGUAGCUGGUCUGAGAGGAUGAUCAGCCACACUGGAACUGAGACACGGUCCAGACUCCUACGGGAGGCAGCAGUGGGGAAUAUUGGACAAUGGGCGCAAGCCUGAUCCAGCCAUACCGCGUGGGUGAAGAAGGCCUUCGGGUUGUAAAGCCCUUUUGUUGGGAAAGAAAAGCAGCAGGUUAAUACCCCGCUGUUCUGACGGUACCCAAAGAAUAAGCACCGGCUAACUUCGUG
RNAcentral lists this ribosomal RNA (492 nucleotides) under uncultured bacterium. RNAcentral describes it as "partial 16S ribosomal RNA". It matches the Rfam family "Bacterial small subunit ribosomal RNA", at positions 29 to 507 of the family's 1533-position model. The record is from RNAcentral.